AUUGAACGCUGGCGGCAGGCCUAACACAUGCAAGUCGAACGGUAACAGGAAACAGCUUGCUGUUUCGCUGACGAGUGGCGGACGGGUGAGUAAUGUCUGGGAAACUGCCUGAUGGAGGGGGAUAACUACUGGAAACGGUAGCUAAUACCGCAUAACGUCGCAAGACCAAAGAGGGGGACCCUCGGGCCUCUUGCCAUCGGAUGUGCCCAGAUGGGAUUAGCUUGUUGGUGGGGUAACGGCUCACCAAGGCGACGAUCCCUAGCUGGUCUGAGAGGAUGACCAGCCACACUGGAACUGAGACACGGUCCAGACUCCUACGGGAGGCAGCAGUGGGGAAUAUUGCACAAUGGGCGCAAGCCUGAUGCAGCCAUGCCGCGUGUAUGAAGAAGGCUUUCGGGUUGUAAAGUACUUUCAGCGGGGAGGAAGGGAGUAAAGUUAAUACCUUUGCUCAUUGACGUUACCCGCAGAAGAAGCACCGGCUAACUCCGUG
Molecule: ribosomal RNA, 490 nt
Filed under: uncultured bacterium
Lineage: Bacteria
Description: partial 16S ribosomal RNA
Rfam family: Bacterial small subunit ribosomal RNA
Source: RNAcentral